GUACUUGUCAUCACUUUCCUUGUUAUACUGGUCGGUGAUCCACUGCAAGCUGUCCUUCGCAUAGUUUUCUACUGCCAUCACUUCAUGGACGCUUAGAAAGGUUUUCUUCCUUGCUUGGUAGGGGAGGGCCAUCAGAGUCAAUAGAAUGGCCAACAGGAGCUGUAGGGCCUGCCAGGGCUCAGCCAUCAUCCUUCAGCUGCAGAGGAACAGGAAGAGUGUUCUCUGUACUCCUCAGGGACAAGUCGAAUCACACUGACCCUACCUGCCCUGGCAGGAUUUAAGAGCAGCUGGUGGUGGACACCCACAGCUCUCCUCUCCUCCUCCUCCCCCUUCAUCAGCAGCUGAACUCGAGGGGAGAGCAGCAAGAGACUGUGCAAUGGUUUUUGCAUAAGUUCAUGCCACACACACACAGGAUAACACACACAUUUUCUCUUUUGAGGGGCUGCUCCCUCAGCAACACACAGGCUUCUGUGGACCCAGCAUUGUCUUGGUGGGAGCCAGGCGAGGGCCCCUGGGAGUCCUGGAGGAUGGUAGCUGCUGGAGACACGGGGAGAUUGGAUGCCAGGACUGGCGCAUUCAUAGGUUGUUCAUGGAAUAGACAUAUUUACUACAUGUCUCCGGCAGAAUUGCUGUAACACUAGGAAUAGUAUAUCUUUCAUGUCUCAUGAAAACUGUUCUCCUGGCCAAAUUGAACGAAUGCAGCUCUCUGGACUCAGAGAGGAUUGAAUGGGCAAUUAAUCAGGAGGGUGCCAGUCUCCCAGGAGAACCAGCAAAUAUCACUGAAUUACGCUGCUCAUAUUCCUGGACUCUGCUGAAGAACAAUCUCCUCCAGGAAGCGCCUUCUGAUUGCCUGGCCCACCUUCUGCCCAGGCUAACACGGAUGCCACUGCUAUCUGGCCACACUUCUAUCAAAACAUGCAAGCUGUUCUCCUUCCACUGCUCUUCAGCUCUGCCUCUGGAACCUCACUUUGAAUCCCUUGGGACAACAAAGUCAGACUGGCUGGACUCACAUCUGGCUCCACCAUUGACCAGCUGGGUGGCUGUGGGCAAAUUACUUACAUUCAACGUGCCUCAGUCUUCUCACCUGCAAAAUGGAAAUUGCCACAGCCAACCCAACCUUCAGCAACCACCAGUCUGAUCAGUCAGCAACCAUCAACAUCAAGGCAAGACCCUCCAUCAGCAAAAGGAUUAUGACUCACUGAAGGCACAGAUUGUUAGCAUUUUUAGCAGUAAAUCAUUUUUAAUUAAG
Long non-coding RNA from Homo sapiens (human), 1249 nucleotides. The record is from Ensembl. NCBI's taxonomy places the organism in Eukaryota, Metazoa, Chordata, Mammalia, Primates, Hominidae.